RNAcentral lists this ribosomal RNA (458 nucleotides) under Oreaster clavatus. Its description in RNAcentral is "partial 16S ribosomal RNA". It matches the Rfam family "Bacterial large subunit ribosomal RNA", at positions 2187 to 2738 of the family's 2925-position model. Lineage: Eukaryota; Metazoa; Echinodermata; Asteroidea; Valvatida; Oreasteridae. The record is from RNAcentral.
AGUUUUUCAUAUGCUAAUUUACUCCUAGGGGGUCAAUAGGUUUACUAAGUGAUGAGCUACGUAUUGCAUGAGUUGUUUUGGUUGGGGCAACCGCGGAGUAGAGAUAUCCUCCGCUGAGGCGACAGUCAAGGUGAUGUCCUUACUGUGCAGGCACUGUUUUUUGUGAUCCGCCGAGUGGGCGAGCAAAAGAACAAGUUACCGCAGGGAUAACAGCGUAAUUUCCUUGGAGAGUUCAUAUUGAUAAGGAAGUUUGCGACCUCGAUGUUGGAUCGGGAUUUCCUAGGGGUGCAGCAGCUCCUGAGGGUUGGUCUGUUCGACCAUUAAAAUCCUACGUGAUCUGAGUUCAGACCGGCGGGAGCCAGGUCAGUUUCUAUCUGCGACUUAUAAGAAAUGGCCGUCUUUAGUACGAAAGGAUUAAGAUGGCGGCACCUAUGUCUUUUGGUAAGUGCCUAAGAUUG